AACGAACGCUGGCGGCAUGCCUAACACAUGCAAGUCGAACGAAGGCCUCGGCCUUAGUGGCGCACGGGUGCGUAACGCGUGGGAAUCUGCCCUUGGGUACGGAAUAACUCGCCGAAAGGAGUGCUAAUACCGUAUGAUGUCGCAAGACCAAAGAUUUAUCGCCCAGGGAUGAGCCCGCGUAGGAUUAGCUAGUUGGUGAGGUAAAGGCUCACCAAGGCGACGAUCCUUAGCUGGUCUGAGAGGAUGAUCAGCCACACUGGGACUGAGACACGGCCCAGACUCCUACGGGAGGCAGCAGUGGGGAAUAUUGGACAAUGGGCGAAAGCCUGAUCCAGCAAUGCCGCGUGAGUGAUGAAGGCCUUAGGGUUGUAAAGCUCUUUUACCCGGGAAGAUAAUGACUGUACCGGAAGAAUAAGCUCCGGCUAACUCCGUGCCAGCAGCAGCCGCAG
RNAcentral lists this ribosomal RNA (449 nucleotides) under uncultured bacterium. RNAcentral describes it as "partial 16S ribosomal RNA". It matches the Rfam family "Bacterial small subunit ribosomal RNA", at positions 29 to 523 of the family's 1533-position model. The record is from RNAcentral.